Pipra filicauda (Wire-tailed manakin) is the source of this 355-nucleotide long non-coding RNA. RefSeq lists it as uncharacterized. The record is from RefSeq and is a predicted model, not a curated record. NCBI's taxonomy places the organism in Eukaryota, Metazoa, Chordata, Aves, Passeriformes, Pipridae. The transcript is spliced from 2 exons.
GCAGCCGCAUCCCCGCCCCGCUCCUGGUGCUGCUCCCGGCUCCGAUCCCGGUCCCGGCACCGCCACCGGCCAGCGCAGGGCGGGCGGCGCCGCGGGGGCCUCCCGCAGUGUCCGCGCGCAGCUGCUCGCCGCGCUGCCUGCCCGCGGGGAUGCCGCCCGCCGCCGUGUGUGCCCGCCGGGAUCGCGGCCUCGCUCCCGGAGGAAGCGGCGGGAGCGCUGUCGGUGCAGCCGUGUCCGCCCCGAGGGCACGAGGGGGAUGCGGCCAUCGCUGCCGCGCCUCACUCCGCCCAGAGCCGGCUCCCACCGCGCUAACCAGGACUGGGAGGGAAACAAAAUAAACCAGUGGCCCCUUUCA